This 253-nucleotide ribosomal RNA is filed under the name uncultured bacterium. RNAcentral's name for it is "partial 16S ribosomal RNA". It matches the Rfam family "Bacterial small subunit ribosomal RNA", at positions 524 to 776 of the family's 1533-position model. The record is from RNAcentral.
UACGAAGGGGACUAGCGUUGUUCGGAAUUACCGGGCGUAAAGCGCACGUAGGCGGAUUUGUUAGUCAGGGGUGAAAUCCCGGGGCUCAACCUCGGAACUGCCUUUGAUACUGCAAGUCUCGAGUCCGAUAGAGGUGGGUGGAAUUCCUAGUGUAGAGGUGAAAUUCGUAGAUAUUAGGAAGAACACCGGUGGCGAAGGCGGCCCACUGGAUCGGUACUGACGCUGAGGUGCGAAAGCGUGGGGAGCAAACAGG